CCAAUCUGAAAUAUGUCAAAACAUAAACAGAUAUUCCAGAUUGGACCUCUGGUCAUAAAUCUUUAGAAGUUUAAAUUUUUUUAACUUUUUGGUAAAAAUAUAAUGGUACGGCAGCUGAAAACAUGUAAAAAUAUAAAAGGCUAGGAUCCACAGAAAUCGUCUGGCCCUAUAUGUGGAUAGGAUAAGCAGAGCAUUCCAUCAGGAACUAAAUUCAUGCAGGUCGUGAUUAAUGUGACUGGCAUUGGUCAUCACCGCGGUCAGAUGACCCCUCUAUCCAAUGUAUCGACGAAGGACUCUUGGAUUUGGAGCAUCAACUGGAAGUCGAACGGGGAAAGUUGGCAGUAUUCAAGAAGGGUUUAGAGCGAUAGAUCUACCUCGCACGCGUACUUCAUCAGAAUCAUCCGGAAUUGACAGAGUAGUGAAACUCUGAGAAGUAUCCGUCCGAAACAUACCUUAAAUGGUCACAGCCAAAAGAAUCAGGACAAUGUUCACCGGUGUAAGUGGUAAGAAGCGGCUGGUUGCCUGUGGACCGGAAAACAACAAAGGCGAUGUAGCACAGUCCAUUGCCAAGCCAGCAAUUGUUCCUCAAGAACUCGACAAGAAUGCUUUGAGCAAGUACAACGAAACAUCCGUGAAGGCGAACGGGAAUGGAAUAUUGCUUUCCUUUAAAAAACGGUCUACUACCAGAGUCCGAACUAUUAAAAAAUUUAUUGUAGUAAAGCAUUCAUUAUGAAUCUCAGUCGUUAGAGGACUUUGUAAUAAUAUACAAUCGCUAAAUAUGAUGUUCUAUGAUACUAUUCAACUAUAUAAAUAGAUUUAAACUGGUUAAUGCUAUUUUUUCUGAGAAAAUAAAUGCUUUGGUUUCGA
Armigeres subalbatus is the source of this 867-nucleotide long non-coding RNA. RefSeq lists it as uncharacterized. The transcript is spliced from 2 exons. The record is from RefSeq and is a predicted model, not a curated record. NCBI's taxonomy places the organism in Eukaryota, Metazoa, Arthropoda, Insecta, Diptera, Culicidae.